Gemmatimonadetes bacterium 13_1_40CM_4_69_5 is the source of this 180-nucleotide non-coding RNA. The record is from Rfam. NCBI's taxonomy places the organism in Bacteria, Pseudomonadati, Gemmatimonadota.
GUCGCGCAUCGCCUAACGUAGCUUCGUAACUGCGAACGGGGCAUUACGGAAGCCGGUGCGAGUCCGGCGCGGCCCCGCCACUGUAACGGGCAGUUCGUCGUCGGCUCACAGCCACUGGGCAACCGGGAAGGCGAGCCGACCGCCCGAAGCCAGGAGACGUCUCCGUUCGCGCCACCUCGC